Molecule: ribosomal RNA, 453 nt
Filed under: uncultured bacterium
Lineage: Bacteria
Description: bacterial SSU rRNA
Rfam family: Bacterial small subunit ribosomal RNA
Source: RNAcentral
UACGGGAGGCAGCAGUGGGGAAUAUUGCACAAUGGGCGCAAGCCUGAUGCAGCCAUGCCGCGUGUAUGAAGAAGGCCUUCGGGUUGUAAAGUACUUUCAGUCGUGAGGAAGGUGUUAAGGUUAAUAACCUUAGCAAUUGACGUUAGCGACAGAAGAAGCACCGGCUAACUCCGUGCCAGCAGCCGCGGUAAUACGGAGAGUGCGAGCGUUAAUCGGAAUUACUGGGCGUAAAGGGCACGCAGGCGGUUAAUUAAGUUGGAUGUGAAAUCCCCGGGCUUAACCUGGGAAUGGCAUUCAAGACUGGUUAGCUAGAGUCUUGUAGAGGGGGUAGAAUUCCAUGUGUAGCGGUGAAAUGCGUAGAGAUGUGGAGGAAUACCGGUGGCGAAGGCGGCCCCUGGGACAAAGACUGACGCUCAUGUGCGAAAGCGUGGGGAGCAAACAGGAUUAGAUACC